RNAcentral lists this ribosomal RNA (506 nucleotides) under uncultured bacterium. RNAcentral describes it as "partial 16S ribosomal RNA". It matches the Rfam family "Bacterial small subunit ribosomal RNA", at positions 30 to 526 of the family's 1533-position model. The record is from RNAcentral.
AUUGAACGCUGGCGGCAGGCCUAACACAUGCAAGUCGAACGGUAACAGGAAACAGCUUGCUGUUUCGCUGACGAGUGGCGGACGGGUGAGUAAUGUCUGGGAAACUGCCUGAUGGAGGGGGAUAACUACUGGAAACGGUAGCUAAUACCGCAUAACGUCGCAAGACCAAAGAGGGGGACCUUCGGGCCUCUUGCCAUCGGAUGUGCCCAGAUGGGAUUAGCUAGUAGGUGGGGUAACGGCUCACCUAGGCGACGAUCCCUAGCUGGUCUGAGAGGAGGACCAGCCACACUGGAACUGGGAGACGGUCCAGGGUCCUACGGGAGGCAGCAGUGGGGAAUAUUGCACAAUGGGCGCAAGCCUGAUGCAGCCAUGCCGCGUGUAUGAAGAAGGCCUUCGGGUUGUAAAGUACUUUCAGCGGUGAGGAAGGGAGUAAAGUUAAUACCUUUGCUCAUUGACAUUACCCGCAGAAGAAGCACCGGCUAACUCCGUGCCAGCCGCCGUAAAAC